Molecule: ribosomal RNA, 253 nt
Filed under: uncultured bacterium
Lineage: Bacteria
Description: partial 16S ribosomal RNA
Rfam family: Bacterial small subunit ribosomal RNA
Source: RNAcentral
UACGGAGGAUGCAAGCGUUAUCCGGAUUCAUUGGGUUUAAAGGGUGCGUAGGCGGAGUACUAAGUCAGUGGUGAAAUCCUGCAGCUUAACUGUAGAACUGUCAUUGAUACUGGUAUUCUUGAAUGCAGUUGAGGUAGGCGGAAUGUGUAAUGUAGCGGUGAAAUGCUUAGAUAUUACACAGAACACCGAUUGCGAAGGCAGCUUACUAAACUGUGAUUGACGCUGAGGCACGAAAGCGUGGGGAGCAAACAGG